UUAAAUCAAAUUUUUAAUAUUAAUAAAUAAUAUAAAAUUAAAAUAAUCUGCCUACGCAUCCCCAUCGGCCCAUCCCACACUACCUCACCAAAUAUCACUUAGAAACUGUAAUUAUUUCAUAUCUAUCCUCUCUCUCAUCUCAUUCUCUCUCUCCCAUGUGGAAAACGCCACUGAAAAAUCAUCGUUGGAAGAGGGAGACGCUGCCGGAAGACGUCGUCGAGCACCAUGGGCGAAGUCGCUGCAGCUAUUGCUCUGUGCACCGGUCUCCACUACAGCCGCAUUACAGCGCUACAGUCGAUCGACGCCUCACUGGCCUGAUUUUGUGAAGCUGUAAAAUAAAUUUCGGUUUUGGUUUUGUAAAGCUGUAAAAGAAAUUAAGUUCCUUGAUUUUAAAAACGUUGUUAACCCUGCCAAAUUGCAUCCCUAAGGCUAGAAGUGCAGAACAGCAGCUAGCUUGAAAGUUGAAACCACCGUGAACAACUUUUGAGAGCAUUUGGUCGUAUCUCGUGUGCUUGGUAUAAUUUUUGCAUCGAGCACUGCAGCCUGUAGGCGCUCCAAGUUUUGUUGUCAUUUGUCAACAGAUUUAUCUGGUAGGUAGAAUGGAGUUGGCGUGAUUGUGAUGAAAGAAUUGGUGACGUUGCAGUGUCAAUGAUAGCGGUGAUAAUUGUGUUUGGAAAAUGGUUGUUUCACUGGUUUGCUUAUUUUCAGCUUGCUGAUGCGGCAUUUUGCAUUUUGGUUGGGGUGGGAUUGGGGGUGGAAUGGUGUGAAGAGUGUCUCGUUGAGAAUAUUUUAAUAUAUAAAAAAGAACAUAUUUAUUAUUAUUAUUAUUAUUAUUAUUAUUAUUAUUAUUAUUAUUAUUAUUAUUAUUAUUAAAAUUGAUAAUCAUGAUCAAUAAAUGAUGUGACUUGAAAAAUGUGAAAUUGUGACUCGCAAUUUAUUAAGCUGUGGUCAAAUUAUUUGAUAAUUUGUGAUCGAAAAAUAAUUUUAACCAAUUAGUUUGAUAAUCUGUAAUCGUGAAAUAAGUUGUGACCUAUAAAAUUUGUGACUUAUGACUCAAAAGUAACACGUUGCCUAUUAAUUUGAUCAUUCGUGAUCGGUUAAGAAAUUGUGACCUGUAAAAUUUGUAAUUUGUGACGACUUAUUUCAAGAUUUUUCUUUCCUCAUUUUAAUGCACUCUACAUUCUCUUAUUUCCAAAUUAACUAAGCACUCAAACUAUCCCCUUUUAAUUAAUUCAAAAAACACAAAUCUUACAAAAUUUGUGGUUCGAACAUCAAUAUUUCAAAAUAAUGAUGAUGAUGAUGAUGAUGAUGAUGAUGAUGAUGAUAAUAAUAAUAAUAAUAAAUGUGUUCUUUUUUAUAUAUUAAAAUAUACUUAAUCAUAUAGGGUCACAUUAAUAUAUAAACAGUCACGACCACCAACACCACCAUUGAUACCACCACUCCCCCACCACCACCUCCAACCCAUCAUUCCAUCAUUUGCACCUGCACUUAAUGGCUCAGAAAGAGGCACAAUCACAAGAUGUGACUAUCUGUGACCAAAUAUAUCUUCAAUGUAACUGUUUGUGACCAAAUUUGUUUUUAGUGUUGCUAUUUGUGGCCAAGUCAAUCUUAACUGUGAUCAGGUCACAAUUAACACAUAGUGAUCUCAACCAAUCACAAUUAA
This 1663-nucleotide long non-coding RNA is filed under the name Olea europaea (common olive). RNAcentral describes it as "long non-coding RNA (OEUR_LNC013218)". The record is from RNAcentral. Lineage: Eukaryota; Viridiplantae; Streptophyta; Magnoliopsida; Lamiales; Oleaceae.